UCACUUAUGGCCUCUGUUGCUUUACAGACUUGGGAGAAGAUGGCAAGAAUAGUUAAAAGAAGGGAAUUUCAGGCAAGAGCAGUGAACUUUUUCAUGAUUUGCUGAAUCAUCGUAUUUUCAGUUCUGUCCUGACACAGCAAUAUUCUGAGGCUGAUUAUCAUUACAGCUACUGCUGAAUGACUUUGGAAAUGAAAAAGUGACUAAUACUCAGAUUCAAGAUUGCCAGCUAAAGAAAGCUCAAUUAUCUCUACCUCUCUGACAGAAGCCAUUUUAAACUGAUCAGUGUGAAUGCCGACAUCCAAAUGUACUCAUUUAAAACAUCUACUUGUUCAUCCUAAAACUAUAUUUAAACUUUUUGUUUUGUGUAUUAUACUAGUAGUUCUAGUGAUCUUACAGAUUUUUGUUUGUUUGUUUAUUUACUUUUUUGCUCCUCAGCUGUAUGUGUAUUAAAUAUCUGGAAUUGUCAGACAAAAUUUUCCGAUUAAAUUCAAUGCAAAGACUAAGCAAGUAGGAUCACAAUUUAGUGUUUUUAUCUCUAAAACAAAGAAACUUUCUCCUCUGUAAAUAUGUAAGUAUAAUGAUUCAUAUGGGAAUGACAUCCAUUAUCUUAGUCAACAUUUCAUAUAGACAGAAGAACAAAAUUAUUAUCAAGGCUAAUUGCUUUUUAUUUAAAGAGAUACACCUAAAUAUUUAUAUCAGUACUUACCUCCUGAUUCUCUGCUGUUGUUUUAUAAAUGUAUGUAGUUAUGAAAACAACAAAUAAAGCUGUUUUCUAGAAUAUAUACAAUCA
This is a non-coding RNA of Anas platyrhynchos (mallard), 790 nucleotides long. The record is from RefSeq and is a predicted model, not a curated record. NCBI's taxonomy places the organism in Eukaryota, Metazoa, Chordata, Aves, Anseriformes, Anatidae.